AGCGAACGCUGGCGGCAGGCCUAACACAUGCAAGUCGAACGGACCCUUCGGGGUUAGUGGCGGACGGGUGAGUAACACGUGGGAACGUGCCCUUUGGUUCGGAACAACUCAGGGAAACUUGAGCUAAUACCGAAUGUGCCCUUCGGGGGAAAGAUUUAUCGCCAUUGGAGCGGCCCGCGUCUGAUUAGCUAGUUGGUGGGGUAAUGGCCUACCAAGGCGACGAUCAGUAGCUGGUCUGAGAGGAUGAUCAGCCACAUUGGGACUGAGACACGGCCCAAACUCCUACGGGAGGCAGCAGUGGGGAAUCUUGCGCAAUGGGCGAAAGCCUGACGCAGCCAUGCCGCGUGAAUGAUGAAGGUCUUAGGAUUGUAAAAUUCUUUCACCGGGGACGAUAAUGACGGUACCCGGAGAAGAAGCCCCGGCUAACUUCGUGCCAGCCGCCGCGGUAA
This 449-nucleotide ribosomal RNA is filed under the name uncultured bacterium. RNAcentral describes it as "partial 16S ribosomal RNA". It matches the Rfam family "Bacterial small subunit ribosomal RNA", at positions 29 to 523 of the family's 1533-position model. The record is from RNAcentral.